RNAcentral lists this ribosomal RNA (473 nucleotides) under uncultured bacterium. RNAcentral's name for it is "bacterial SSU rRNA". It matches the Rfam family "Bacterial small subunit ribosomal RNA", at positions 329 to 793 of the family's 1533-position model. The record is from RNAcentral.
UCCCAGACUCCUACGGGAGGCAGCAGUUAGGAAUAUUCGUCAAUGGGGGAAACCCUGAACGAGCAAUGCCGCGUGAAGGAUGACGGUCCUCUGGAUUGUAAACUUCUGUUGUUAGGGAAGAACGACCUAAGUAGGAAAUGACUUAGGAGUAACGGUACCUUUCAAGAAAGCUCCGGCUAACUACGUGCCAGCAGCCGCGGUAAUACGUAGGGAGCGAGCGUUAUCCGGAUUUAUUGGGUGUAAAGGGUGCGUAGGCGGCGCUUCAGGUCAGCGGUGAAAUACCGGGGCUCAACCCCGGGGCUGCCGUUGAAACCGGAGCGCUAGAAUUCCGAUGCCGUCGGAGGAAUGUGUGGUGUAGCGGUGAAAUGCAUAGAUAUCACACAGAACACCGAUUGCGAAGGCAUCUGACGAAGCGGAGAUUGACGCUGAUGCACGAAAGCGUGGGUAUCGAACAGGAUUAGAUACCCGCGUAC